Molecule: ribosomal RNA, 468 nt
Filed under: uncultured bacterium
Lineage: Bacteria
Description: partial 16S ribosomal RNA
Rfam family: Bacterial small subunit ribosomal RNA
Source: RNAcentral
GACGAACGCUGGCGGCGUGCUUAACACAUGCAAGUCGAACGGAAAGGCCCUGCUUUUGUGGGGUGCUCGAGUGGCGAACGGGUGAGUAACACGUGAGUAACCUGCCCUUUACUUUGGGAUAACUUCAGGAAACUGGGGCUAAUACCGGAUAGGAGCUCCCGCUGCAUGGUGGGGGUUGGAAAGUUUCGGCGGUUGGGGAUGGACUCGCGGCUUAUCAGCUUGUUGGUGGGGUAGUGGCUUACCAAGGCUUUGACGGGUAGCCGGCCUGAGAGGGUGACCGGCCACAGUGGGACUGAGAUACGGCCCAGAGUCCUACGGGAGGCAGCAGUGGGGAAUAUUGCACAAUGGGCGGAAGACUGAUGCAGCAACGCCGCGUGCGGGAUGACGGCCUUCAGGUUGUAAACCGCUUUCGCCUGUGACGAAGCGUGAGUGACGGUAAUGGGUAAAGAAGCACCGGCUAACUACGUG